UUCCGCCUUCCGAGCCCGCCUUCUCGCCACGCACCUGCGUCAGCGCGCUCUGCGCGUGCGCCGGCGGCAGGGCUGUGGGGAGAAUGGCUGCGUCUUCGAGUGGUGAGAAGGAGAAGGAGCGGCUGGGAGGCGGUUUGGUAGUGGCGAGUGGUAACAGCACACGAGAGCGGCUGCUGUCUGCGCUUGAGGAUUUGGAGGUCUUGUCUAGGGAACUUAUAGAAAUGCUGGCAAUUUCAAGAAACCAAAAGUUGUUACAGGCUGGAGAGGAAAACCAGGUCCUGGAGUUGUUAAUUCACCGAGAUGGGGAAUUUCAAGAACUAAUGAAAUUGGCAGUUAAUCAGGGAAAAAUUCAUCAUGAAAUGCAAGUUUUAGAAAAAGAAGUAGAGAAGAGAGACAGUGAUAUUCAGCAAUUACAAAAACAGCUAAAGGAAGCAGAACAAAUACUGGCAACAGCUGUUUACCAAGCAAAGGAGAAACUCAAGUCAAUAGAAAAAGCAAGAAAAGGUGCUAUCUCCUCUGAAGAAAUAAUUAAGUAUGCACAUAGGAUCAGUGCCAGUAAUGCUGUAUGUGCUCCACUGACCUGGGUUCCAGGGGACCCCCGGAGACCCUACCCAACUGAUUUAGAGAUGAGAAGUGGGUUACUGGGUCAGAUGAACAAUCCUUCCACUAAUGGCGUGAAUGGCCAUUUACCAGGAGAUGCACUCGCAGCAGGAAGAUUGCCAGAUGUCCUUGCUCCACAGUAUCCAUGGCAGUCAAAUGACAUGUCGAUGAAUAUGUUACCACCAAAUCAUAGUAGUGACUUUUUGUUGGAACCUCCUGGGCAUAAUAAAGAAAAUGAAGAUGAUGUAGAGAUUAUGUCAACGGACUCCUCAAGCAGUAGUAAGAUGGAGUUUCACCAUGUUGGCCAGACUGGUUCCGAACUGCUGACCUCAAGUGAUCCACCCACCUCGGCCUCCCAAAGUGCUGGGAUUACAGGUGUGAGCCACCGCGCCUGGCAAGAGCCUUCUUUACUUAGCACAGAAGAUUGCUUAAUAAAUACUUCUUGGUUAUAUUGCUUGACUGUUUUGUUAGAUCCUACAUAAAACAAACUCUUAGAGGAUAGAACUAGCUACUGAGCUGGUGUUUCUACCACCGUUCUAACCAUUGGUUCUUGCAACUAUUGCUCCUGGCCACUUCACUUCUAGCCCUUUGGGUCAGUCAGCUAGACACCCAAACAGUUCACCUGUGAUGGCUCAUGGAGAAAAAUCCAUGCAUGGUAGCUGGGGUGGGAUGGUGGCCUCUCGGGACCUCACUGCACUCCCCUGUUCUGACCUGCUGAUCUAUUUCCCUGAUUCUAAACUCCUCAUUUCAUCCCCCAGCCCUUUAGUCUUACUAUGGUUCUUGCCCAACAUGGCAUCUUUCAUUAUUGAACCUGUUGACCACCUCUUCUUUCUCCUUCCAUUUGAAUUCAACUCUUUGGUAGUGGCAUGAGCAGGGACGUUGGUUAAGUUAGUGAACUGCCAUAAGUAUUUGUAAACCCAGUGUACGCAAAAGCCAUUAAGAAAACGAAAACUCUCCUGGCCAUGGAUUGCUUCUUUUUUUUCUUUUUUUUUUUUUUUUUUGAGACGGAGUCUCACUCUGUCACCCAGGUUGGAGUGCAGUGGCGCGAUCUCGGCUCACUGCAAGCUCCGCCUCCUGGGUUCAUGCCAUUCUCCUGCCUCAGCUUCUCCGAGUAGCUGGGACUACAGGUGCCUGCCACCACGCCCGGCUAAUUUUUUUUUUUUUGUAUUUUUAGUAGCGAUGGGGUUUCACCGUGGUCUCGAUCUCCUGACCUCGUGAUCCACCCGCCUCGGCCUCCCAAAGUGCUGGAAUUACAAGCGUGAGCCACCGUGCAUGGAUUGCUUCUAUGUAGCACUGCUGAUAAGAAAGACGGGUGAAGCAAUGUGUGGUCGAGAGCACUUGGUUUAUUUUCACCAGUGGCAACAACAGAGGGAGGAGCAAAAUGCAGGUGUGUGUCCUGCAGCUCUCAAACUGGUAGACCUAAAACAUUUUGUGGACAAGUUGAGCCCUUCUUCAUACUGUCUUAAAGCUGCUUCCUCAAGGCAGUUCAUGGCUCCUACUUGCCAGACUUCCACCUGUGGUCUGGUUUACCUCUCUUGGGGUUGCAAGAAUAUCUUACCUAAAUAGUCACUUUCUCUGCAUCCCAAGUAUCUUGUUGAUUGGAACAGCUUAUUGUGUGAGUCAGGUUUAUCUAAUUCUACUGAUUUAUUUCCACUAAUAAAACACAACAUAAUAAAAUUCUCAAAUAUGCAUGAACACAUAAUUAUAUCCCUUUAAAAAUACAGAACCUGUUAUAAAGUACAUUUCACAUGCAUGUUACUUAAUAAUUUCCCCUACAACAUAGUAAGUUGCCCUCAUUUUUCCUCACAUUAGUAAAUUGGCAUUUGGAUUUCAGCUUCCUUACCCAGUUGUGAACUUUGUGUACAUCUUUAGCCAGAGUGUCACUUCUGUUUCUAUUUUGGGCCCUAACUCCUCCUUACACCUAUAGAAACAGAUAUUCUUCAUGUCCCUGCCAAUAAUUGGAAUGCGGUAUUUGUAUUUCCUAUUCUGAAGAUCCUCAAUACUACUUGUUUUCAUUCUGACCCAGAAAAAGUAAAAGUUAAGAAAAAGAAAUACUAAAAGGUCAUUUUUUUCAUUCAGCUAGUAUAUAUUAGGCAUUUAGCAUUAGCAGUUACCACUCUGGCUGCUAGGUAUAUAAUAGAAAGACACGGUCUUUAGUCUAAAGGAGCUUACUUUCUACUGGGGAAACAAGCAAUCAAUAAAAAUCAACAUGACAUCUUCCAUAAUAUACAAGUACUGGCAGCCUUAUCAGAUGCAUCAAACCUAAAUCCUCAAAUAAUCAAAGCUGUGCUCAGCCACAGAAAAUACCCUUCCAGAGUUACACGUGAUCCCUGAAAGGUGAACAUAUUUCCUCUUCAUUCAUAUAAAUAGUGUUUAUGAAAACUGCAAUAUUGAUGUAUACUUGUCUUCAGCCAUUUUGAAGGAGGAGGCUGACUUGCGGGCAUUUUAUCUACAGAAUUUAACUUAUUGCUUCACAGAUGCAUCAGAGGUGAAUUCAACCCAUUAGAAAUUUAAACCAAGCUAUUCAAAAAGACAAACGGGUGGCUUUGGAAGAACACAACUGACAUGUCUCAUUUAAAUCUAGAGCCUUAUGAAAUCAAAAGCUACCUCUGAAGUCAACAUACAGUAGAAAUGGUGUAAGAAAAUCAAGAAAUCUUCUCGGCCACCUAGAGAUGAUUUCCUUUGUAUCCCACCAGAUGGUUCAGAUCUUCUUUAAAUGGAUCAUAGCCUUGUUCUUUUAAACAACGCAGUCCCCAGAAAAGCUGGUCCAGAGGAGGUAAUUCUUCCCAAGGAACCCACUCCCAACCUGGAAAAGAAAGAUGCUAAAUCAAUUUAUUUAGCUAAUAGAAAACAAAGGGUAUUUAUUUGGGUAAGCUAACCUAUAUUUAGAAAAAAUUAAUUGAAUUUAAAAAUAACUUGCUACUAAUAAACUCUAAUAGUGA
Symphalangus syndactylus (siamang) is the source of this 3542-nucleotide RNA transcript. It is a transcript of the gene named mediator complex subunit 4, with no coding region annotated. The record is from RefSeq and is a predicted model, not a curated record. NCBI's taxonomy places the organism in Eukaryota, Metazoa, Chordata, Mammalia, Primates, Hylobatidae.